Non-coding RNA from Dermacentor albipictus, 408 nucleotides. NCBI's taxonomy places the organism in Eukaryota, Metazoa, Arthropoda, Arachnida, Ixodida, Ixodidae. The record is from RefSeq and is a predicted model, not a curated record.
GAGGAUGACGAAGAGCCAAGCACGAAAGCACACCACGUACGGAAGGAAGAAAAAAAAAAUGACCACUACUGCGAAAAGGGGUGCAAGCGAAAAUCGGGAUCCGCGGCUCUUCGUCGUCGUAACGCCUUGGCUUCGCGCUCCCUCACGGCGAGGUCGGCCGUCGAUGACGAGCUUUUCUCGAGCGAGUUCCCGACGAUCAGUGCUGAAGCUCAAGUCCUGAAUCAAGCUGAUAUUCUCGGGAAAUUCGCUUGCCUAAGGUGCGGUGCACCUUACAGCCAGGCUGCCACCAUCCAGCUUCUUUCUGCUCACGAAGUCGACCUGUCAGUGAUUAAGCAGCGUGCAAGUGGCAACUCCGACCGGCAUCGGAGUAUGCAACAAUGCACAAAGCACCACACUGCUGUUGCUGAC